RNAcentral lists this unclassified non-coding RNA (252 nucleotides) under uncultured Alternaria. RNAcentral's name for it is "sequence contains ITS2". The stretch from base 1 to 52 matches the Rfam family "5.8S ribosomal RNA", at positions 103 to 154 of the family's 154-position model. Lineage: Eukaryota; Fungi; Ascomycota; Dothideomycetes; Pleosporales; Pleosporaceae. The record is from RNAcentral.
AACGCACAUUGCGCCCUUUGGUAUUCCAAAGGGCAUGCCUGUUCGAGCGUCAUUUGUACCCUCAAGCUUUGCUUGGUGUUGGGCGUCUUUUGUCUCCAGCUCGCUGGAGACUCGCCUUAAAGUCAUUGGCAGCCGGCCUACUGGUUUCGGAGCGCAGCACAAGUCGCGCUCUUGCCCAGCCAAGGUCAGCGUCCAGCAAGCCUUUUUUCAACCUUUGACCUCGGAUCAGGUAGGGAUACCCGCUGAACUUAA